Molecule: ribosomal RNA, 497 nt
Filed under: uncultured bacterium
Lineage: Bacteria
Description: partial 16S ribosomal RNA
Rfam family: Bacterial small subunit ribosomal RNA
Source: RNAcentral
GAUGAACGCUGGCGGCGUGCCUAAUACAUGCAAGUCGAGCGAACGGACGAGAAGCUUGCUUCUCUGAUGUUAGCGGCGGACGGGUGAGUAACACGUGGAUAACCUACCUAUAAGACUGGGAUAACUUCGGGAAACCGGAGCUAAUACCGGAUAAUAUUUUGAACCGCAUGGUUCAAAAGUGAAAGACGGUCUUGCUGUCACUUAUAGAUGGAUCCGCGCUGCAUUAGCUAGUUGGUAAGGUAACGGCUUACCAAGGCAACGAUGCAUAGCCGACCUGAGAGGGUGAUCGGCCACCCUGGAACUGAGACACGGUCCAGACUACUACGGGAGGCAGCAGUAGGGAAUCUUCCGCAAUGGGCGAAAGCCUGAAGGAGCAACGCCGCGUGAGUGAUGAAGGUCUUCGGAUCGUAAAACUCUGUUAUUAGGGAAGAACAUAUGUGUAAGUAACUGUGCACAUCUUGACGGUACCUAAUCAGAAAGCCACGGCUAACUACGUG